RNAcentral lists this ribosomal RNA (246 nucleotides) under uncultured Lactobacillus sp. RNAcentral's name for it is "partial 16S ribosomal RNA". It matches the Rfam family "Bacterial small subunit ribosomal RNA", at positions 116 to 355 of the family's 1533-position model. Lineage: Bacteria; Bacillati; Bacillota; Bacilli; Lactobacillales; Lactobacillaceae. The record is from RNAcentral.
CGUGGGUAACCUGCCCAAGAGAUCGGGAUAACACCUGGAAACAGAUGCUAAUACCGGAUAACAAUAGAUGAUGCCUAUCAACUGUUUAAAAGAUGGUUCUGCUAUCACUCUUGGAUGGACCUGCGGUGCAUUAGCUAGUUGGUAGGGUAACGGCCUACCAAGGCGAUGAUGCAUAACCGAGUUGAGAGACUGAUCGGCCACAUUGGGACUGAGACACGGCCCAAACUCCUACGGGAGGCAGCAGUC